This 236-nucleotide ribosomal RNA is filed under the name uncultured bacterium. RNAcentral describes it as "partial 16S ribosomal RNA". It matches the Rfam family "Bacterial small subunit ribosomal RNA", at positions 118 to 347 of the family's 1533-position model. The record is from RNAcentral.
UGAGCAAUCUGCCCUUCACAUCGGAAUAAGCGUUGGAAACGACGUCUAAUGCCGAAUACGACCUCCUUUCGCAUGAUCGGAGGUGGAAAGCUCCGGCGGAGAAGGAUGAGCUCGCGGCCUAUCAGCUAGUUGGUGUGGGUAAUGGCCCACCAAGGCGACGACGGGUAGCCGGCCUGGAGAGGGCGACCGGCCACACUGGGACUGAGAUACCGGCCCAGACCUCCGUACGGGAGCAG